GACGAACGCUGGCGGCGUGCUUAACACAUGCAAGUCGAACGAGGUCCACUGCGUAGCAAUACAAGGGAAGACCUAGUGGCGAACGGGUGCGUAACACGUGAGGAACUUGUCCCGGUCUCUGGGAUAACAGUUGGAAACGACUGCUAAUACCGGAUGACGUCGGAAUCUCGCAUGGGAUACUGACGAAAGGGUUACUGGAUCGGGAGAGCCUCGCGGCCUAUCAGCUUGUUGGUGAGGUAACGGCUCACCAAGGCAUCGACGGGUAGCUGGUCUGAGAGGAUGAUCAGCCACACUGGGACUGAGACACGGCCCAGACUCCUACGGGAGGCAGCAGUGGGGAAGUCUUGCGCAAUGGGCGGAAAGACCUGACGCAGCAACGCCGCGUGCGGGAA
Molecule: ribosomal RNA, 392 nt
Filed under: uncultured bacterium
Lineage: Bacteria
Description: bacterial SSU rRNA
Rfam family: Bacterial small subunit ribosomal RNA
Source: RNAcentral